GUUUGUAACAUCUGAGGCCGAAGCAGCCGAAGGAGCGGCGUCAUUCACUCACACCGUCUUCUCUGCCUUCAGUUGACUUGAUUCUUUAGGUCCAGGCUCACGUUGGGUCAGAGCUGAAUUGAGGUUUGAAAGUGUGGCCUUAUUUGAUCAACUCAGUCCAUUUAAACUUUUUUUGUUGCUCAAAACUUUGCGAAUGUUCUGCAACUUUUUUUAAAUUGCUUCGUGUGCUUCGGUUUUAUAUAUCACACGAGCACUUCCGGUACGUGCGUGUCACGUGACCUGGCGUAAAAACGCAACAGGUGAUCGGAGUGACGCGGUUUCACGCACAGUGGCGUAAAUCAAACGCACCUUGCGUAGACCCGCGGCCUGUUUAAACGCUCGUCGCCUUCUCUGCGCGUUUGGCGUCGCGUCGAGACGGAUCCAUUCAGUUUCUCCAGUUUUAUUUUAAUGGAUGAGUCAACGCAGACGCCGCAGAUCCGCGUCUGGCCUCAGAAGCCGCACCCACCAGAACCGGGCCUCACCCCGGUGUCGAUGCUGUUUGGCUGCAGAGCGGAGAAAGCUGAGCGGCUGCAGAGGAAGCAGGGCACAUAUGGACGAGCGCUCGUAACGAACGCCUUCGCGCUCCACAUGAAACAGAACGACGCCGUGGAGCUGAGCCCACGCGCUGCACGGGGGGUGCGGCGUGGGCUCUGCGCUGGCUUCAGUCAGAGGAAGCCGACCCGCUGCACCGGAUCAGAACCACCGUCGUAGCUGCUUCAUUCAGCUAAAGGGAACAGCGGGAAACACAUGAAGCCUGUUCUCAUCCUGUUUGUCUUCUUCCACAGAUGCAGUUUUCACCAGACACCGGUUCUCAUACAAUGAGAUGCUGCAUUAAGUCCUUUAGGUAAAUGGAGCCCACGCUCUGAUUAUCCUCAGAUUUACUUCUGGGGCUUUGAGAACUCGGGUCUAUACGUACUGCACAUGGUGAAGGCGAACAGAAUGCGGUUUACGGGAAACGCUGCAAACCGUCUCUUUAAGCCCGAGGCUCCGGUUCCAGCAGCUCAAAGAAACACCAUUAAAUCCUGAGGUGAGCUUUGAACUGGGGCAAAAUGGGCUCAUUGGAGAAAACGGAGCCUCGCGUACAUUUACUGAAAAUCAAUCUGCAGCCUGUUCCCAUCGUGCAAAACGAUGAAGGGGAACAGAGGCCGACUGCAAAAUGAUUCUAGGGAACCAGUCUCAGGUUUGAUUCAUGAAGCUUCAAUAUGAAGGUGAGGCGUCGCUGAGCGUCUCCCUGUGGAUCGGCCAGUAUCUGCUUGGACCUGUGACUUCUUGACUGAUCAACGGGACAAAGGAGCUGCUGCUCGUUCUCGCUGCCAAUUAGCGCCAUGAUGCCCGUUAGUUUCCCUCCAGCUCCUGUAAUUGGAUCUCAAUUGGAAAACAUGGCGCCCGUUUCUCUUCCUCCUCUGCUUCCAACUGAGCGCGGAUCCGUUGUUUAUACAGCGGUUUAGCGGCUUUGCACCACUUUACUGGGAUUUGCUGAAUUCAUGUCGUGCUGCAGCUGUUGGAGUUGCUAGAGUGUAAAAUUGCUCAGAGUGGAUUAGUUUGCACCGGACACCUCAUUAAACUCUGCACUAGCUCACCUCUGAAUAUGAUUCUCCUACAAGACGGAUGGAAGUAACACAAAUGAAGUGGAUUUAAAGAAACAAAGACCGCAGGAAUCCGCUGGAUCAGUACAGGUCCUGUUUGUUUGGACGCUGCUCUCGUCAGCCGCCUGUGGAGCCUUUAGGAGAGGGGACGUUCUGCUUCCAGGCUCUGGCAGAUCAGCUCCCGUUCCUCAAACUUCCUCUAAGUCUCACACUGACUCCUCGCUGAGCAGAGCUCUGCAGGAAGCGCAUCCACGUAACAAUGGGGACCUGCUCACCAAAGGCAGCCUUUUGUAAUGAAGAGGAUCGGGAGCCAUGAAUAACUGCCGUGACUGAUGGUGUGGGUGCAGAGUUGAUCUGCAGGAGUUGGAGCGCGUCUGUUAUUUUGCCCGCGCUUUAUUUCCUCUCCUCUACGAAUAAUAUUAAACCCUCAGUGUCUCUGCAGACGUCUGGCCGCUCGUUCUUUGUCACCGUUUGUUCUGCUCUGAUAAAAGUCUGUGUCCCGGUUGCUUUGCAGAGCGCUGAUAGCGCAGCGAGACCGAGCAACAAUUAUAUUUGCAUAUUAUUCUCACGGUGGAGAGUGCAGAUACAAAUAAUUAGUUUAAUCGCCUUUCUUUUCUUGCCUGUGCAGAAAUGCUGAGCCUCCUUUUUGCCGGGAUGAAGAUUCUGGUGGUUUAAGCUGCGACAGCUCUGCGAUUGUCAGACUCUUCAUCACGUCUCUACUUCUUCACCUUCCCUUGUUUAACGCGUCACCUGCUGGUCUUCUGUCGCUCCGGCCGUCUCCCGUCUAUUCUCGGUCGUCUUCUCUCGUGUUGUAGAGUUUUUCUACUUGCUGAGUGAACACGUUUUGCAGCACGCGUUCUCCUGCUUUUACGGUUCCUCCCUCAUCACCUUUUGUUCGUCUCGAUGAACUCCUUCAUUGUCCGACUCACGAGGAGUGAUGUAAUCUUAAGUCAUAAAGUGCCAGUGAACCAUUUAGUUCUAUUAUAUCAUUAACUUUUUUAAUGUUUAGUUAUUUGAAGCGGUGAUUAAGACCUAAUUUGAUUCAUUUUUUAUUCUAAAUGACACAAAAGCAGCAGAGAUUUCAGGCUUCUAGAUGUGUCUGACAUCUGAAGCAUACUGAAUGACUUCGCAGGAAUUAUUGAUGGCCUCAUAAAAUGCCUCCCACUGAUAUUUUGCAGCAUAACCCAGAUGAAGGGGGACUUUGAGACCGCGCCACUGGUUCAUUCAGCUGUUUUCAUGUAUCAGUAGCGUGUAGUUGGCUGUGGACCGACAUCAAAAACAGGAAAAAAAGCAUCAUUAGACAGAGAAAAAGUUGGUUUAUUAGAUAUUGGACAUUUUGAGCCUGUUGGAUGAUGCGCGAUAGAGGCAGACGCUGUGUCUUUUAUUUGUAGUUUGUGUGUGUGUGACCCGCUGUGAUCAGAUCCCUUUACGUUUGGGCAUAAACCAAACAGAAUCUGUGGCAAUGUUUGAAGAUGUUUCCCGAGGUCAGUGUUUGGUCAGAGCAGGGAGCUGAUGGGGGAUGGACGGACUGUCGCACUGUGUUAGCGAGAGAAUGGGCUCCAAGUGGUCGGAAGGAAAAAAGAAAAGGAGCGGAAAAUGAACAAGCCGAGUGUCGACUGAUUGUACAUUUCUCAAAGCAGAAUGUCUGGACCGUCGCCGCGUUCUGUUCCAUCCACGAUGCGUCACUGGCUAAAAAUUGGCCAUGACUUUAAAAAUAGCAGCGUCAGUGAGCAUCAGCUUCAACCCAGCAACCUCGCGACCUUAAAGUAAUCUGUGGAAGGAGGCUCUCUGGAGAUAAACAGCACUCUGUGGAGCUCCGAACAGGCAGCGCUUUAACAGGACGAGCCUCCGCCGGCCGUGAACGGAGCCAAGGUCCGAACGUCUGCGUUCAUUCAUUCCACAGUCAGAGCCCAGAUGUUUGUGUAGCUUUAGGAUACUGGUGGAAUGUCCGUUUGCAGAUGAUGAUUGGAUCAGGUGCGUUUCCUGCACGGAUUCCUCCUUUUUCUCAAGCAGUGACGUCGUGUAUGGGAACGUUUUGACAGGAAUCCUGCAGCGUAUGGAAAGUUUGCAUCAGUGAGUGUGAUGCUAAAUGUGAGAACAGUGUCAUCAUCCAAAGCCACAUUCGUAUUUGUUUUUGCUAAAAAGAUGUUGAGGCUGCAAGUCUUCCCAUUCUCUGCUAAAUCAUUUUUACACCUGUGAUUCGGGUUAAAACAAUAAUUGUUUGUUUCUUCCUCAUUUACUCUAAUGCAUAAUUAAAUGGAACCAGUCUACUGA
This is a long non-coding RNA of Betta splendens (Siamese fighting fish), 3899 nucleotides long. RefSeq lists it as uncharacterized. The record is from RefSeq and is a predicted model, not a curated record. The transcript is spliced from 3 exons. Lineage: Eukaryota; Metazoa; Chordata; Actinopteri; Anabantiformes; Osphronemidae.